UCAACUCUCAAAAAAUUGAAAAGAACUGGAAAGUAAAGGAAUGUCCAUUAUUUUGGAGAAUGGCUGAACAAGUUUUAUAUAAUUAAAAAGGAAUACUACUGUGCCAAAAGAAAUGAUGAACAAGAACACAAAACAACCUGGAAAGGCUUAAGAAGUGAUGCAAAGUGAAGUGAAUAGAAACAGGAGAGCAUUGUAUAUGGUAACUGAAAUAAAGUAUGCUGAUCAACUAUGAAUGACAACUAGUGUCAGAAAUGCAAGGAUCCAAGACCACUCCAAAGAACUUAUGAAGAAAAACUAUUCAAAACCAACACAGAAUAAACUGUUAGAGGCUAAGUGAAGAUUGAAGGAUACUAUUUUCCCAUGAAUUCACCUGAAUUUUUCUCUAGUCACUGUCCAGGAAGACAUUUUGAUAUGCACCACAUCAUGAAAGAAGAUAUAUAUCGCAUAUACAAAAAAGCAUCAUGGAUGAAAUAAAGUGAAAAAUGCUUUGCUUCUAUCUCCCUUCAGAUUCAGAAAGUUCCUUCCAUGACCGAGGAUAGCAUUUAUCAUUGUGAGUCAGUCCCUUGG
This 567-nucleotide long non-coding RNA is filed under the name Monodelphis domestica (gray short-tailed opossum). RNAcentral's name for it is "lncRNA (ENSMODG00000042575.1)". Lineage: Eukaryota; Metazoa; Chordata; Mammalia; Didelphimorphia; Didelphidae. The record is from RNAcentral.